GAGUUUGAUCCUGGCUCAGAGUGAACGCUGGUGGUAGGCNUAACACAUGCAAGUCGAACGGCAGCACAGGAGAGCUUGCUCUCUGGGUGGCGAGUGGCGGACGGGUGAGGAAUACAUCGGAAUCUACUCUGUCGUGGGGGAUAACGUAGGGAAACUUACGCUAAUACCGCAUACGACCUACGGGUGAAAGCAGGGGAUCUUCGGACCUUGCGCGAUUGAAUGAGCCGAUGUCGGAUUAGCUAGUUGGCGGGGUAAAGGCCCACCAAGGCGACGAUCCGUAGCUGGUCUGAGAGGAUGAUCAGCCACACUGGAACUGAGACACGGUCCAGACUCCUACGGGAGGCAGCAGUGGGGAAUAUUGGACAAUGGGCGCAAGCCUGAUCCAGCCAUACCGCGUGGGUGAAGAAGGCCUUCGGGUUGUAAAGCCCUUUUGUUGGGAAAGAAAUCCAGCCGGCUAAUACCUGGUUGGGAUGACGGUACCCAAAGAAUAAGCACCGGCUAACUUCGUGCCAGCAGCCGCGGUAAUACGAAGGGUGCAAGCGUUACUCGGAAUUACUGGGCGUAAAGCGUGCGUAGGUGGUCGUUUAAGUCCGUUGUGAAAGCCCUGGGCUCAACCUGGGAACUGCAGUGGAUACUGGGCGCACUAGAGUGUGGUAGAGGUAA
Molecule: ribosomal RNA, 663 nt
Filed under: Stenotrophomonas sp. EE1
Lineage: Bacteria; Pseudomonadati; Pseudomonadota; Gammaproteobacteria; Lysobacterales; Lysobacteraceae
Description: bacterial SSU rRNA
Rfam family: Bacterial small subunit ribosomal RNA
Source: RNAcentral